GAUGAACGCUGGCGGCGUGCCUAAUACAUGCAAGUCGAGCGAACGGACGAGAAGCUUGCUUCUCUGAUGUUAGCGGCGGACGGGCGAGUAACACGUGGAUAACCUACCUAUAAGACUGGGAUAACUUCGGGAAACCGGAGCUAAUACCGGAUAAUAUUUUGAACCGCAUGGUUCAAAAGUAAAAGACGGUCUUGCUGUCACUUAUAGAUGGAUCCGCGCUGCAUUAGCUAGUUGGUAAGGUAACGGCUUACCAAGGCAACGAUGCAUAGCCGACCUGAGAGGGUGAUCGGCCACACUGGAACUGAGACACGGUCCAGACUCCUACGGGAGGCAGCAGUAGGGAAUCUUCCGCAAUGGGCGAAAGCCUGACGGGGCAACGCCGCGUGAGUGAUGAAGGUCUUCGGAUCGUAAAACUCUGUUAUUAGGGAAGAACAUAUGUGUAAGUAACUGUGCACAUCUUGACGGUACCUAAUCAGAAAGCCACGGCUAACUACGUG
This 497-nucleotide ribosomal RNA is filed under the name uncultured bacterium. Its description in RNAcentral is "partial 16S ribosomal RNA". It matches the Rfam family "Bacterial small subunit ribosomal RNA", at positions 28 to 507 of the family's 1533-position model. The record is from RNAcentral.